Oryza brachyantha (malo sina) is the source of this 198-nucleotide non-coding RNA. Lineage: Eukaryota; Viridiplantae; Streptophyta; Magnoliopsida; Poales; Poaceae. The record is from Rfam.
UUUUUGUUUUUCCGUGUCCAAUGUUUGACCAUUUGUCUUAUUUAAAAAAUUUAUACAAAAACUUAAAAAAAUUAGUCACGUAUAAAUUGCUAUUCAUAUUUUAUAAUCUAGUAAUAAUAAAAAUAUUAAUCGCAAAAAAAUUUCAAAUAAGACGAAUGGUCAAACGUUGGACACGAAAAAACGAAAAUUGAGGUUAUU